This 88-nucleotide transfer RNA is filed under the name Hypoxylon rubiginosum. RNAcentral describes it as "tRNA-Glu". It matches the Rfam family "tRNA". Rfam says of the family: Transfer RNA (tRNA) molecules are approximately 80 nucleotides in length. Lineage: Eukaryota; Fungi; Ascomycota; Sordariomycetes; Xylariales; Hypoxylaceae. The record is from RNAcentral.
ACCAUUGUCGUCUAGCGGUUUAGGAUACCAGAUUUUCAAUAGCUAUCUUGGAGUUCUGGGGGCCGGGGUUCGAACCCCCGCAAUGGCA